Molecule: ribosomal RNA, 253 nt
Filed under: uncultured prokaryote
Description: partial 16S ribosomal RNA
Rfam family: Bacterial small subunit ribosomal RNA
Source: RNAcentral
GACGAACCGAGCGAACGUUGUUCGGAAUCACUGGGCUUAAAGGGCGCGUAGGCGGCUUGCCAAGUCAGGGGUGAAAUUUUGCGGCUUAACCGUAACAGUGCCUCUGAUACUGGCAGGCUAGAGGGAAAUAGGGGUCCGCGGAACUUCUGGUGGAGCGGUGAAAUGCGUUGAUAUCAGAAGGAACGCCGGUGGCGAAAGCGGCGGACUGGAUUUUUUCUGACGCUGAGGCGCGAAAGCUAGGGGAGCAAACGGG